Molecule: ribosomal RNA, 490 nt
Filed under: uncultured bacterium
Lineage: Bacteria
Description: partial 16S ribosomal RNA
Source: RNAcentral
GUAGUUAGCCGGAGCUUCCUCCUCUGCUACCAUCAUUAUUUUCACAGAGGACAGAGGUUUACAAUCCGAAAACCUUCUUCCCUCACGCGGCGUUGCUGGGUCAGGCUUUCGCCCAUUGCCCAAUAUUCCCCACUGCUGCCUCCCGUAGGAGUCUGGACCGUGUCUCAGUUCCAGUGUGGCCGAUCAGCCUCUCAGCUCGGCUACCCAUCGCGGACUUGGUGGGCCGUUACCCCGCCAACUAUCUAAUGGGACGCGAGCCCCUCCCUCUGCGGAUUGCUCCUUUGACCUCAGAGCGAUGCCACUCCGUGGUCUUAUGCGGUAUUAGUGCAACUUUCGCUGCGUUAUCCCCCUGUAAGGGACAGGUUGCUCACGCGUUACUCACCCGUCCGCCGCUAGAACAUACUUCGUAUUGCUACUCAACAUGUCCCCGCUCGACUUGCAUGUGUUAGGCACGCCGCCAGCGUUCGUCCUGAGCCAGAUCAAACUCUGA